UGCAUCGAACUGCUUCCCUCACUUUCGAUCAGUUGUUGCUCCACGAGAUAAACGUUGGACGCAAGACAUGGGUUCCUGUGUUGCAUACCUAUUGCGACGGAAAUGUGUGCCUUCGAUCGUCCCUUCCAUCACGGCGUCCUCACGGAUGCUCGGUUGGACCGGAUAGUGGGGCUCGUGUUCCACGAACAUCGUCUCAUUCGAUCGUUCGGAUGGACCACGGGUGCCUACUCGUUCUCUCGGAUGCGGAACUCUCUUAAUGGGCGUGGGGUCAUUGGCCCUUGGUCCCUAAUCGUUAAGCGUUUAUCGCUUCACCGGAAUGACGAUCUCGCCUUGUCCUUGACCACGCGAAGCCCUCGGGCAUCGCGACGGAUCAUGCUCGGCGGACGUCGUGAAGGAAUGC
Molecule: unclassified non-coding RNA, 400 nt
Filed under: Eucalyptus sepulcralis
Lineage: Eukaryota; Viridiplantae; Streptophyta; Magnoliopsida; Myrtales; Myrtaceae
Description: partial external transcribed spacer
Source: RNAcentral